UUGCUCAACAGAUGGCUGCGAGGAUACUACAGGGCUAGAGGCGGGAAGAGGCUAGCGGUACUCAGUGGUAGGGGUAAAAUCCACUGAUCCACUGAGACACCAGUGGCGAAAGUCGGCUUGCCAGAACGCGCUCGACGUGAGGGAUGAAAGCUGGGGGAGCAAACCCGGAUUAGAUACCCGGGUAGUCCCAGCUGUAAACGAUGCAGACUCGGUGAUGGGCUAGCUUUGAGCCAGCCCAGUGCCGCAGGGAAGCCGUUAAGUCUGCCGCCUGGGGAGUACGGUCGCAAGACUGAAACUUACAGGAAUUGGCGGGGGAGCACCACAAGGGGUGAAGCCUGCGGUUCAAUUGGAGUCAACGCCGGAAAUCUUACCGGGGGCGACAGCAGAGUGAAGGUCAAGCUGAAGACUUUACCAGACAAGCUGAGAGGAGGUGCAUGGCCGUCGCCAGCUCGUGCCGUGAGGUGUCCUGUUAAGUCAGGUAACGAGCAAGAUCCCUGCUUCUAGUUGCUACCACCGUUCUCAGGAACGGAGGGGCUAAUUAGAGGGACCGCCGCCGCUGAGGCGGAGGAAGGAGGGGGCUACGGCAGGUCAGUAUGCCCCGAAACCCUCGGGCCACACGCGGGCUGCAAUGGUAGGGACAGCGGGCUCCGAUUCCGAAAGGAGGAGGCAAUCCCUCAAACCCUACCCCAGUUAUGAUUGAGGGCUGAAACUCGCCCUCAUGAAUAUGGAAUCCCUAGUAACCGCGUGUCACUAUCGCGCGGUGAAUACGUCCCUGAUCCUUGCACUCACCCCCGUC
RNAcentral lists this ribosomal RNA (796 nucleotides) under uncultured Thermoprotei archaeon. Its description in RNAcentral is "bacterial SSU rRNA". It matches the Rfam family "Archaeal small subunit ribosomal RNA", at positions 555 to 1354 of the family's 1478-position model. Lineage: Archaea; Thermoproteati; Thermoproteota; Thermoprotei. The record is from RNAcentral.